Molecule: ribosomal RNA, 1308 nt
Filed under: metagenome
Description: bacterial LSU rRNA
Rfam family: Bacterial large subunit ribosomal RNA
Source: RNAcentral
AAAACGUCCGUCGUGAAAAGGGAAACAACCCAGACCGUCAGCUAAGGUCCCAAAGUUAUGGUUAAGUGGGAAACGAUGUGGGAAGGCUUAGACAGCUAGGAGGUUGGCUUAGAAGCAGCCACCCUUUAAAGAAAGCGUAAUAGCUCACUAGUCGAGUCGGCCUGCGCGGAAGAUGUAACGGGGCUCAAACCAUACACCGAAGCUACGGGUUCAACGUAAGUUGAGCGGUAGAGGAGCGUUCUGUAAGCCUGUGAAGGUCAAUUGAGAAGUUGGCUGGAGGUAUCAGAAGUGCGAAUGCUGACAUGAGUAACGACAAUGGGAGUGAAAAACUCCCACGCCGAAAGACCAAGGUUUCCUGCGCAACGUUAAUCGACGCAGGGUUAGUCGGUUCCUAAGGCGAGGCAGAAAUGCGUAGUCGAUGGCAAACAGGUUAAUAUUCCUGUACUUCUAGUUACUGCGAUGGAGGGACGCAGAAGGCUAGGCCAGCUUGGCGUUGGUUGUCCAAGUUUAAGGUGGUAGGCUUAAAUCUUAGGUAAAUCCGGGAUUUUUUAAGGCCGAGAGCUGAUGACGAGUUAUCUUUUAGAUGACGAAGUGGUUGAUGCCAUGCUUCCAGGAAAGCUUCUAAGCUUCAGGUAACUAGGAACCGUACCCCAAACCGACACAGGUGGUUGGGUAGAGAAUACCAAGGCGCUUGAGAGAACUCGGGUGAAGGAACUAGGCAAAAUGGCACCGUAACUUCGGGAGAAGGUGCGCCGGUGAGGGUGAAGCAUUUACUGCGUAAGCCCAUGCCGGUCGAAGAUACCAGGCCGCUGCGACUGUUUAUUAAAAACACAGCACUCUGCAAACACGAAAGUGGACGUAUAGGGUGUGACGCCUGCCCGGUGCCGGAAGGUUAAUUGAUGGGGUUAGCUAACGCGAAGCUCUUGAUCGAAGCCCCGGUAAACGGCGGCCGUAACAAUAACGGUCCUAAGGUAGCGAAAUUCCUUGUCGGGUAAGUUCCGACCUGCACGAAUGGCGUAACGAUGGCGGCGCUGUCUCCACCCGAGACUCAGUGAAAUUGAAAUCGCUGUGAAGAUGCAGUGUAUCCGCGGCUAGACGGAAAGACCCCGUGAACCUUUACUAUAGCUUUGCACUGGACUUUGAAUUUGCUUGUGUAGGAUAGGUGGGAGGCUUUGAAGCGUGAACGCUAGUUUGCGUGGAGCCAAUCUUGAAAUACCACCCUGGCAACUUUGAGGUUCUAACUCUGGUCCGUUAUCCGGAUCGAGGACAGUGUAUGGUGGGUAGUUUGACUGGGGCGGUCUCCUCCUC